RNAcentral lists this ribosomal RNA (492 nucleotides) under uncultured bacterium. Its description in RNAcentral is "partial 16S ribosomal RNA". It matches the Rfam family "Bacterial small subunit ribosomal RNA", at positions 29 to 507 of the family's 1533-position model. The record is from RNAcentral.
AGUGAACGCUGGCGGUAGGCCUAACACAUGCAAGUCGAACGGCAGCACAGUAAGAGCUUGCUCUUACGGGUGGCGAGUGGCGGACGGGUGAGGAAUACAUCGGAAUCUACUUUUUCGUGGGGGAUAACGUAGGGAAACUUACGCUAAUACCGCAUACGACCUACGGGUGAAAGCAGGGGAUCUUCGGACCUUGCGCGUUUGAAUGAGCCGAUGUCGGAUUAGCUAGUUGGCGGGGUAAAGGCCCACCAAGGCGACGAUCCGUAGCUGGUCUGAGAGGAUGAUCAGCCACACUGGAGCUGAGACACGGUCCAGACUCCUACGGGAGGCAGCAGUGGGGAAUAUUGGACAAUGGGCGCAAGCCUGAUCCAACCAUACCGCGUGGGUGAAGAAGGCCUUCGGGUUGUAAAGCCCUUUUGUUGGGAAAGAAAAGCAGCAGGUUAAUACCCCGCUGUUCUGACGGUACCCAAAGAAUAAGCACCGGCUAACUUCGUG